UCCUAUGUAUACUAAGGAUUGAACAAGCAGAGAAAUAUAAGAAUGUGAACAACCUAUUUGAAUUGAAAUAACUUAAUUGAACUAUAUCAAAUUUAUUAAUGAUUAACUAACUAAGACAUGCUAUGCUUUUAGAACAAGAAAACCGAAAUAGCAUGGUAUCACUACUACGUCAUAAUUCUUUUAAGCAACAAGAAAAUCCACAAUUUAAACUAUUACAGCUUAGUGCUCAAUUAUACAUGACAUCAAAUUACAUGAUUCUAGUAAAAGAUACUAAUUAACCUAUAUACCAUUUAAGAUACGAAACAACUAAAUGAAUAUAGAACUUUAAAACUUCCUUUUUCAUUCAUGCUUCGAAUUUCAGCUACAUCGAACCAGUGUAUCAGAUAUAUGUACCUGGUAUUUGGAAAUGCCAAAAAGGAAGAAGGGAGUCAGUAGUGCAAUAGCACAAACCCAGCAACAACACAAGUUCAACAACACAGCAGAACCAAUAGCAAAUGGCGUCAAAGAUCCCAGAACAGAUUUGAAGUUAAACAAGCACAAACCAGGACUUUAAAACAGAAAACCAAAAGAAAUAGCCUAGGAAGACCAACGUAACAGUAUUUGAAGGCUAACAGAGUUCCAAAAACACCACACUGAAAUCCAGGAAAAACACUAAGCAAUACUUGAGAAACCAACUGAAGAACUCAGCUAUCAAUUGGAUACUAGCAAUACCAGAAUGUGCUCGGAAUCACAGUAGGAAAGGAACUGGUUGCGAGGAAACAAUAACUUCUGAUAUUUCACCCUCAAGAAGAACAUACAACCUGAAUAUAAGUUCAACUUUCAAUCUAUAUUUUAUUCAAUAUGCUCUCUUAAAAUCUUUCUGAUUUUCCAAAACUGAAUGAAAGAAAGAAUGGAAACAGUGGUUUCUUCUUCUGUUUUGAAUCUCUCUUUUCUAAUUUUUCAAAAGACUUCUAAAACUGAUCGCUCAAAAUUUUUGUCUUUCUGAUUUUUCAAAAAAAGACUUCAAAACUCUAUUUAAACACUCAAAAGUUGCUACUCACAACCGUUCUCUCAAUUCUUUUCGACUGCCUUCUCCUCCUUUUUUUCUGUGUGUAUCCCUGUAUUUAAAGACUAAGGUUUAACCCUUUUUUAAUUCAAAGAUUCCACUUUUUCUCCGUUUUAUUCCCUCCCGUGUGCAUUUAUACCCUUUUAUCAUUAACCACAUACUACUUCUGAUUUCCAGCCCUUAAAAGCACUAUGCUUUUCAACAUUUUCAGAAUGUCUUAAUAUCUUUUCAGUUUGUUUUAGUCUAAUACCCGGGUUAUUCCCUGAUUUUCCAUUAUUGAAUGUUUUGUUCAUUUGUUUAAUUGAAAGUUGAUAGACAUCCUAUUGUUUUUCAGUCCUUCAAGUUAUUAAACAAUAAAUGGGCAUGGUGCAGCCUGAAUAUUAAAUUCAGGCGUGCCUGACAGCACAUGUCCUCACACUUCAUCAUAAUUUCAAAUCACAGUCCAUUAAUCCCUAUGUACAUUUAAUCCUAGCCCUCCCUUUAAUCUGAUAGAUUAACAAAUGUGAAACAGAUUCAUAUAACCAAUUCAACUUAAAUUCAACUGUAGACCACUCAGAUUUUAAGUCAAACAAUAGUCUGGACCAAAUUAAACAGUAUCAAUAUCACUACUAUCAACAUUAAUCUAACAAUCAAGCCUAUACAGCUAAUCGACGACAUUUAUUAAAUCGAUUAAAAUGCAUAUAAUCGAUAACAAAUAAUCAACACAAAACAAUGCGAUUCACAGCAUUCUGACAAACAGGGGAAAUACGAAACUAAAUAUUCGACGAUAUUAAUCGAAUCGAAUAUAUAUUCUAUAACAGUCACAAACAAAAACAAACAGAAUAAAAUUGACCAAAUAAAAGGUCUUUGAUUUGGAGAAGAAGAGAAGGAAAACAAACAAGAAAACUUAAAGUAAAAAAUCCUUUCAGCCAUGAAUAACAAGAUUGAACCACGAAAAUGAAAAAUGCAUUACCUCCAAAAGAAAUCAGAAGUAAAUGUCUUCAGGGUUUGAGCUCGGGUUGAGCAUUUUGAGGUCGAACAGAGUUUAAUCGAAGUGUUCUCAACUGAGAACACCUCAAUGAAAUUCUAUUAGACCCUACACCCUAAUUGAUUGGACAGAAUCCUUCAUCUGGUUUUCUUAGGGUUGUUGAGGGCUCGGAUUGGGGUUCGAGGAGUUAGGACUUGAUUGGAACCAAACCAGCUAUGUUUUGAUGACGAGGGAGGCUAGGGAAGUGUUUGGGAUGAGUUUGGGGCCGGUUGGGAUGGUUUGACUUGAAGAUUCGAGUAGCUACAACAUGAUUCGAACUAAACGGGGCUUGGGUUCGUGGAGAGGGGAGUUAGGAGGUUCAGGGGUGUUGAUUCGGUGGUGAAAUGAGCCGGCACCGCUGGGUUCUCAGGCGAUGGGAGGGGUGGCGGCUAGGGUUCUUGGGGUGUGUUUGAGUCUCUUGAGAGAGACGAAGGAGAUGAUGGGGUGUGUAAAUGAAGCGGGUUGAGGGUGUGGGGGGGUGUUUGGUAUAUUAAAGUGUAUCAACUAAUUUGAGCCGUUUGAUCACAUGAUCU
Molecule: long non-coding RNA, 2584 nt
Filed under: Nicotiana benthamiana
Lineage: Eukaryota; Viridiplantae; Streptophyta; Magnoliopsida; Solanales; Solanaceae
Description: long non-coding RNA (NBEN_LNC028806)
Source: RNAcentral